UGGGGAAUAUUGCACAAUGGGGGAAACCCUGAUGCAGCGACGCCGCGUGAACGAAGAAGGUAUUCGUAUCGUAAAGUUCUGUCCUAUGGGAAGAUAAUGACAGUACCAUCGAAGAAAGCUCCGGCUAAAUACGUGCCAGCAGCCGCGGUAAUACGUAUGGAGCGAGCGUUGUCCGGAUUUAUUGGGCGUAAAGGGUACGCAGGCGGUUUAAUAAGUCGAAUGUUAAAGAUCGGGGCUCAACCCCGUAAAGCAUUGGAAACUGAUAAACUUGAGUAGGGGAGAGGAAAGUGGAAUUCCUAGUGUAGUGGUGAAAUACGUAGAUAUUAGGAGAAAUACCAGUAGCGAAGGCGACUUUCUGGACACAAACUGACGCCGAGGUACGAAAGCGUGGGGAGCAAACAGG
Molecule: ribosomal RNA, 403 nt
Filed under: Actinomycetes bacterium
Lineage: Bacteria; Bacillati; Actinomycetota; Actinomycetes
Description: Actinobacteria bacterium partial 16S ribosomal RNA
Rfam family: Bacterial small subunit ribosomal RNA
Source: RNAcentral